GCAAGAUUAAAACUCAAAGGAAUAGACGGGGACCCGCACAAGUGGUGGAGCAUGUGGUUUAAUUCGAAGAUACGCGAAGAACCUUACCUAGCCUUGACAUUGAUAGAAUCUUCCAGAGAUGGAGGAGUGCCUUUCGGGGAACUUGAAAACAGGUGCUGCACGGCUGUCGUCAGCUCGUGUCGUGAGAUGUUGGGUUAAGUCCCGCAACGAGCGCAACCCUCGUCACUAGUUACUAACAGUUAGGCUGAGGACUCUAGUGAGACUGCCUUCGUAAGGAGGAGGAAGGUGAGGACGACGUCAAGUCAUCAUGGCCCUUACGGCUAGGGCAACACACGUGCUACAAUGGUUAGGACAGUGAGAAGCGAUACCGCGAGGUGGAGCCAAUCUAUAAACCUAAUCUCAGUUCGGAUUGUAGUCUGCAACUCGACUACAUGAAGCUGGAAUCACUAGUAAUCGUAGAUCAGCUAUGCUACGGUGAAUACGUUCCCGGGUCUUGUACUCACCGCCCGUCACACCAUGGGAGUUGAUUUCACCCGAAGCGGGGAAGCUAAACUGGCUACCCUCCACGGUGGAAUUAGCGACUGGGGUGAAGUCGUAACAAGGUA
Molecule: ribosomal RNA, 605 nt
Filed under: uncultured bacterium
Lineage: Bacteria
Description: bacterial SSU rRNA
Rfam family: Bacterial small subunit ribosomal RNA
Source: RNAcentral